AGCUCUGGAUGCCAGAUGGAUGCUUUGCCAGGGGAAUGGCAGAGUUUGAAGACCCUUGUAAGCUACACGUUUAAGGACCUACAGCAGCUUAUGGCAAACAGCUUCAACCAAAGAGCCAUACAGAACUGACUACAAGAACAUCCUACACCUUGUGGACAUUCUGUUGGUCCUCCCAAUUUCAUCUGCACAGUGUGAGCGAGGCUUCUCUGCGCAGAAACGCCUCAAAAGCUCUUUGAGGAGCUGCUUGCAUGUCUCCACCACAGAGGAUCUUAUCAGGAUCACAACAGAGGGCCCCUCACUUGAAUUAUUUGAUCCCACUAAAUGUGCCGAAAACUGUCUGUCAGCUGGAAAAAGGUCACGUCGACCCAACUACAAGUCAUGGCCAAGUGAUUCCGAGUCCGACAUGAUUUUUGUGUAGCCUAAAUGUGAUAUUUUUUUAUUUAUCUUUUUAGUAAAUUGGUGCUGUUUUGUGUAGCCUAAAUGUAAUCUUGUCUAUUUGUAUUAAUUUAGUUUUAGUAAGUUGGUGCGGUUGGUGUGUGCAAUUUCUGCACCCUAAUAAAUGUUCUGAACAAAAA
This is a long non-coding RNA of Gadus morhua (Atlantic cod), 575 nucleotides long. RefSeq lists it as uncharacterized. Lineage: Eukaryota; Metazoa; Chordata; Actinopteri; Gadiformes; Gadidae. The record is from RefSeq and is a predicted model, not a curated record. The transcript is spliced from 2 exons.